UCUGGUGGUCAUAGCGGAGGGGAAACACCCGUUCCCAUUCCGAACACGGAAGUUAAGCCCUCCAGCGCCGAUGGUACUGGGGAUCUAGCCCCCGGGAGAGCAGGUCGCCGCCAGAA
This 116-nucleotide ribosomal RNA is filed under the name Clostridia bacterium. Lineage: Bacteria; Bacillati; Bacillota; Clostridia. The record is from RNAcentral.